UUUAUUUGAUGCCUUGCUCUUCAUAUUGCUAAUUGCUUUCUGGUUAUGAGCCCAAAGGAAAAGUGGGUUUCUAUGUGACAUUCUUGUCUAUUGAAUUGCAUCCCAUUGAUCAGAUCUUUUCAACUCUUAACUUUUAAAUUUUUGCUUAGGAUUAGUCUCUUAAUCUCCUCCCACUUCUUAAAUUUUAAAAUCUCUCCCCCCUUUUUUAAAAUCUUCUUUGCUUGUG
This 226-nucleotide long non-coding RNA is filed under the name Lathyrus oleraceus (garden pea). Its description in RNAcentral is "Pisum sativum (pea) long non-coding RNA (PSAT_LNC030015)". The record is from RNAcentral. Lineage: Eukaryota; Viridiplantae; Streptophyta; Magnoliopsida; Fabales; Fabaceae.